GGGAAUAUUGGACAAUGGGGGAAACCCUGAUCCAGCAAUGCCGCGUGAGUGAAGAAGGCCUUAGGGUUGUAAAGCUCUUUCGCCCGCGAAGAUAAUGACGGUAGCGGGAGAAGAAGCCCCGGCUAACUCCGUGCCAGCAGCCGCGGUAAUACGGAGGGGGCUAGCGUUGUUCGGAAUUACUGGGCGUAAAGCGUACGUAGGCGGAUGCGCAAGUUGGGGGUGCAAUCCCGGGGCUUAACCUCGGAAUUGCCCUCAAAACUGCACGUCUUGAGACCGAGAGAGGUAAGGGGAAUUCCUAGUGUAGAGGUGAAAUCCGUAGAUAUUAUGAAGAACGCCAGUGGCGAAGGCGCCUUACUGGCUCGGUACUGACGCUGAGGUACGAAAGCGUGGGG
RNAcentral lists this ribosomal RNA (392 nucleotides) under uncultured bacterium. Its description in RNAcentral is "bacterial SSU rRNA". It matches the Rfam family "Bacterial small subunit ribosomal RNA", at positions 357 to 766 of the family's 1533-position model. The record is from RNAcentral.